This 372-nucleotide ribosomal RNA is filed under the name uncultured bacterium. RNAcentral's name for it is "bacterial SSU rRNA". It matches the Rfam family "Bacterial small subunit ribosomal RNA", at positions 430 to 793 of the family's 1533-position model. The record is from RNAcentral.
GCACUUUCAGUAGGGAGGAAGGUAGUGUAGUUAACACCUGCACUAUUUGACGUUACCUACAGAAGAAGCACCGGCUAACUCCGUGCCAGCAGCCGCGGUAAUACGGAGGGUGCGAGCGUUAAUCGGAAUUACUGGGCGUAAAGCGCAUGCAGGCGGCCUGUUAAGUCAGAUGUGAAAGCCCGGGGCUUAACCUCGGAAUUGCAUUUGAAACUGGCAGGCUAGAGUCUUGUAGAGGGGGGUAGGAAUUUCAGGUGUAGCGGUGAAAUGCGUAGAGAUCUGAAGGAAUACCAGUGGCGAAGGCGGCCCCCUGGACAAAGACUGACGCUCAGAUGCGAAAGCGUGGGGAGCAAACAGGAUUAGAUACCCUGGUAG